Molecule: ribosomal RNA, 694 nt
Filed under: uncultured bacterium
Lineage: Bacteria
Description: bacterial SSU rRNA
Rfam family: Bacterial small subunit ribosomal RNA
Source: RNAcentral
AACGCUAGCUACAGGCUUAACACAUGCAAGUCGCGGGGCAGCGGGAGUGAAGCUUGCUUCACUUGCCGGCGACCGGCGCACGGGUGAGUAACGCGUAUCCAACCUUCCCUUAUCCACGGGAUAGCCCGUCGAAAGGCGGAUUAAUACCGUAUGAGGUCAUUUGAUGGCAUCUGAUUAUGACGAAAGGUUUGGCGGAUAAGGAUGGGGAUGCGUCCGAUUAGCUUGUUGGCGGGGUAACGGCCCACCAAGGCGACGAUCGGUAGGGGUUCUGAGAGGAAGGUCCCCCACAUUGGAACUGAGACACGGUCCAAACUCCUACGGGAGGCAGCAGUGAGGAAUAUUGGUCAAUGGGCGAGAGCCUGAACCAGCCAAGUAGCGUGCAGGAAGACGGCCCUAUGGGUUGUAAACUGCUUUUAUGCGGGGAUAAAGUGGGGGAUGCAUCCCUUUUUGCAGGUACCGCAUGAAUAAGGACCGGCUAAUUCCGUGCCAGCAGCCGCGGUAAUACGGAAGGUCCGGGCGUUAUCCGGAUUUAUUGGGUUUAAAGGGAGCGUAGGCUGGAGAUUAAGCGUGUUGUGAAAUGCCGCGGCUCAACCGUGGCACUGCAGCGCGAACUGGUUUCCUUGAGUGCGCUGAAAGUGGGCGGAAUUUGUGGUGUAGCGGUGAAAUGCUUAGAUAUCACGAAGAACUCCGAUUG